This 320-nucleotide ribosomal RNA is filed under the name uncultured eukaryote. RNAcentral describes it as "partial 18S ribosomal RNA". It matches the Rfam family "Eukaryotic small subunit ribosomal RNA", at positions 1470 to 1796 of the family's 1831-position model. The record is from RNAcentral.
CCCUUAGAUGUUCUGGGCUGCACGCGUGUUACAAUCGGGAGUACAACAAGAUUGCAAAUCCUAGUGGAUGAGUGGUUCUUCGAAAUUUUCUGAAGACUGGGAUAGUUGAUUGAAAUUAUUCAACUCAAACGAGGAAUUCCUUGUAAUUGUAAUUCAUUAUAUUGUAAUGAAUACGUCCCUGCCCUUUGUACGCACCGCCCGUCGCUCCUACCGAUUGAACGAUCCGGUGAAUUAUUUGGAGUAGCUCUGGAAGUUGCAGAACUUCCUAUGUCACGAAAUUUUGUAAACCUUAUCGUUUAGAGGAAGGAAAAGUCGUAACA